Molecule: long non-coding RNA, 1276 nt
Organism: Peromyscus leucopus (white-footed mouse)
Lineage: Eukaryota; Metazoa; Chordata; Mammalia; Rodentia; Cricetidae
Exons: 2
Source: RefSeq, a predicted model, not a curated record
UGGCAGGGGCGUGGUCUGGGCAGGGCUAGCCGCCCGGCCGGGCUCUCCCGCCCUCUGGUGGCCGGGUCGCGUUAGGCCAGUACCACUGACCCUUGCGUCCUAGGAUUCAAAGCCACUGAGAAGUUGCCCAGAGCUGGGACCCCCACCUGCCUAGGAACUACAGGCCCCGGCUGGUGUACCAGCACCGAGCAUCACAGCCCCCCAAGAGUAAGGCCUGACCACCAGCCAGACCUCAAGAGCACCUGGCAUCUUCUGGACAGAAAUUAGAAUGACAGCUACCAGAAACAUUCCCCAACGCAGCUGGGAAGACCCAAGAGUACUUCUGUCAUUCAGUGGCACCUGGCUGCAUUCCAGUCAGGGCACCUCUUCUGUGGUUCUGCUCACAAACAUGGCUAUUUCUGAUCACUCUCCUCCCCUUCACUGCCUGAUGUUUUCAAAGAGCAGCCUGCCCUCUUUCAACUUCCCCAUCUUACUCUUAUUCCACAGUGUUCUGAAAAAAGGUCACCAGGAAAACCUCAAAUGCCAAAUCCAGUGUGCUGGUUUUCAGACCUUACUCCUGCCACCUUUCCGAGGAAACUCCCCCCCCCCAAAAACACACACACACCCCAGCUGGGUCCUGAACCCCGGUCACCUCGGAGCACUGUUUCAGGCUCCUUUUCCUUCUUCAUCUUCCCUUUAAUGUUGGAAUCAUUGCAUGCUUGACUGAGACUGCUUCUCUUCUCCCAGAGCAGUUUCGUCCGUCUGUCCAUCCCACUCAAACUGGUAGCCCGGAUUUCUCUCUUGAGCUGAGACUCUGAUUCUCGUGCCUCAGGCAUCGGGGCCAAGGCAGGCUCCAGCCCUUAGCAGCACUGUGUGGAGGACAAAGCUUCCCACAGAGGAAGCCUAGACGACAGCCAGCUCACACCCGAACUCUAGCAUGUGUUCUUUCAAGCUAACGUCCUGCUCACAGUAAACCACACCUCAGCACACAGAACACCGGGAAGGGAGUCUUCACUGGGAUUUUUAUCCCUCCAUGCCCGUCCACACUCUGAUUUCUGUUUAGAUUGCCUCCCUCCCUCAAUUCCCUCAUCAACCAUUCACUCUAUACCCAGUCAGCAAGUCACUCUAACCGCCAUUUAUUCCUGGAUAAAGACUGAUCCCUGGUGAGCUGGGAAACAGAGAUGACCCAGAUGUUUGAGAGAACCUGACACAAUGAGAAUCAUUAGCAUCCUCUAAAUUACACUCCCCCCAAAAAAGGGGGGGAGGGGAAAAUAAACACUUUGCAUUUGUGGUUUCA